UUGGAGGGCAAGUCUGGUGCCAGCAGCCGCGGUAAUUCCAGCUCCAAUAGCGUAUAUUAAAGUUGUUGCAGUUAAAAAGCUCGUAGUUGAAUUUUAGACUUGGCCGGGCGGUCCGUCUUUGACGAGUACUGUUCCGUUGUCGGGUCUUCCUUCUGGUGAACCAGCAUGUCCUUAAUUGGGUGUGUUGGGGAGCCAGGACCAUUACCUUGAAAAAAUUAGAGUGUUUAAAGCGGGCUAUUGCUUGAAUAGAUUAGCAUGGAAUAAUAGAAUAGGACGUUGUGGUUCUAUUUUGUUGGUUUCUAGGACCACCGUAAUGAUUAAUAGGGAUAGUUGGGGGCAUUAGUAUUCAAUUGUCAGAGGUGAAAUUCUUGGAUUUAUUGAAGACUAACUAUUGCGAAAGCAUUUGCCAAGGAUGUUUUCAUUAAUCAAGAACGAAAGUUAGGGGAUCGAAGACGAUCAGAUACCGUCGUAGUCUUAACCAUAAACUAUGCCGACUAGGAAUCGGGCGACGUUAUUUUCACGACUCGCUCGGCGCCUUACGGGAAAC
Molecule: ribosomal RNA, 547 nt
Filed under: uncultured Ambispora
Lineage: Eukaryota; Fungi; Glomeromycota; Glomeromycetes; Archaeosporales; Ambisporaceae
Description: SSU rRNA
Rfam family: Eukaryotic small subunit ribosomal RNA
Source: RNAcentral